GCAUAUCCAAAAAGCGGAGGAAAAGAAACCAACAGGGAUUGCCUUAGUAACGGCGAGUGAAGCGGCAAAAGCUCAAAUUUGAAAUCUGGCACCUUCGGUGUCCGAGUUGUAAUUUGAAGAAGGUAACUUUGGAGUUGGCUCUUGUCUAUGUUCCUUGGAACAGGACGUCACAGAGGGUGAGAAUCCCGUGCGAUGAGAUGCCCAAUUCUAUGUAAAGUGCUUUCGAAGAGUCGAGUUGUUUGGGAAUGCAGCUCUAAGUGGGUGGUAAAUUCCAUCUAAAGCUAAAUAUUGGCGAGAGACCGAUAGCGAACAAGUACAGUGAUGGAAAGAUGAAAAGAACUUUGAAAAGAGAGUGAAAAAGUACGUGAAAUUGUUGAAAGGGAAGGGCUUGAGAUCAGACUUGGUAUUUUGCGAUCCUUUCCUUCUUGGUUGGGUUCCUCGCAGCUUACUGGGCCAGCAUCGGUUUGGAUGGUAGGAUAAUGACUAAGGAAUGUGGCUCUACUUCGGUGGAGUGUUAUAGCCUUGGUUGAUACUGCCUGUCUAGACCGAGGACUGCGUCUUUUGACUAGGAUGUUGGCAUAAUGAUCUUAAGCCACCCGUCUUGAA
Molecule: ribosomal RNA, 606 nt
Filed under: Debaryomyces hansenii
Lineage: Eukaryota; Fungi; Ascomycota; Pichiomycetes; Serinales; Debaryomycetaceae
Description: eukaryotic LSU rRNA
Rfam family: Eukaryotic large subunit ribosomal RNA
Source: RNAcentral